GUUUUGGAAGCAGUAGGGAUGGAGAGAGGUUGGGGAAGCUGUGUCUCUCUGCAAUGAGUGGCACUGGGAGAAGAGACCUGGUAGACUGUGGAGUAGAUGAAACGGGCCUCUCAAUGCUGAGGGAUCACUCAAGAGGAGGAAAACAGAAUGACGUCAUGAAUGAAUGAAUGGUGCAGAGACAAAAUGGACAAUCC
This 194-nucleotide long non-coding RNA is filed under the name Fukomys damarensis (Damara mole-rat). Its description in RNAcentral is "lncRNA (ENSFDAG00000026994.1)". The record is from RNAcentral. Lineage: Eukaryota; Metazoa; Chordata; Mammalia; Rodentia; Bathyergidae.